This 758-nucleotide ribosomal RNA is filed under the name uncultured bacterium. RNAcentral's name for it is "bacterial SSU rRNA". It matches the Rfam family "Bacterial small subunit ribosomal RNA", at positions 38 to 779 of the family's 1533-position model. The record is from RNAcentral.
GGCGCCAGUCUACCAUGCAGUCGAGCGGAACGAGUUAUCUGAACCUUCGGGGGACGAUAACGGCGUCGAGCGGCGGACGGGUGAGUAAUGCCUAGGAAAUUGCCCUGAUGUGGGGGAUAACCAUUGGAAACGAUGGCUAAUACCGCAUGAUGCCUACGGGCCAAAGAGGGGGACCUUCGGGCCUCUCGCGUCAGGAUAUGCCUAGGUGGGAUUAGCUAGUUGGUGAGGUAAGGGCUCACCAAGGCGACGAUCCCUAGCUGGUCUGAGAGGAUGAUCAGCCACACUGGAACUGAGACACGGUCCAGACUCCUACGGGAGGCAGCAGUGGGGAAUAUUGCACAAUGGGCGCAAGCCUGAUGCAGCCAUGCCGCGUGUGUGAAGAAGGCCUUCGGGUUGUAAAGCACUUUCAGUCGUGAGGAAGGUAGUGUAGUUAAUAGCUGCAUUAUUUGACGUUAGCGACAGAAGAAGCACCGGCUAACUCCGUGCCAGCAGCCGCGGUAAUACGGAGGGUGCGAGCGUUAAUCGGAAUUACUGGGCGUAAAGCGCAUGCAGGUGGUUUGUUGAGUCAGAUGUGAAAGCCCGGGGCUCAACCUCGGAAUUGCAUUUGAAACUGGCAGACUAGAGUACUGUAGAGGGGGGUAGAAUUUCAGGUGUAGCGGUGAAAUGCGUAGAGAUCUGAAGGAAUACCGGUGGCGAAGGCGGCCCCCUGGGACAGAUACUGACACUCAGAUGCGAAAGCGUGGGGAGCAAACAGGAUU